UACAGAGGCCUCGAGCGUUGUUCGGAAUUACUGGGCGUAAAGGGAAUGUAGGUGGUCAUGUAAGUCAGAUGUGAAAGCCCUAGGCUUAACCUGGGAAGUGCAUUUGAUACUGCGUGGCUGGAGUGCGAGAGAGGAAAGCGGAAUUCCAGGUGUAGGAGUGAAAUCCGUAGAUAUCUGGAGGAAUACCGAUGGCGAAGGCAGCUUUCUGGCUCGUAACUGACACUGAGAUUCGAAAGCUCGGGUAGCAAACAGG
RNAcentral lists this ribosomal RNA (253 nucleotides) under uncultured bacterium. RNAcentral describes it as "partial 16S ribosomal RNA". It matches the Rfam family "Bacterial small subunit ribosomal RNA", at positions 524 to 776 of the family's 1533-position model. The record is from RNAcentral.